UGCUAUUGGCUUUUUGCUAAGCACUCUGGUGGGACUGCCCGGGAAACCGGGAGGAAGGUGGGGAUGAUGUCAAGUCAUCAUGGUCCUUAUGUCCAGGGCUACACACGUGUUACAAUGGCUAGUACAAAGGGAAGCAAGAUCGUAAAGGUGGAGCAAACCCCAUAAAGCUAGUCUAAGUUCGGAUUGAGGUCUGCAAUUCGACCUCAUGAAGCUGAAAUCGCUAGUAAUCGCGUAUCAUAACGACGCGGUGAAUACGUUCUCGGACCUUGUACACACCGCCCGUCACAUCAUGAGAGCUGUUUGUACCCGAAAUCAUCUUAGUCAACCUGUAAAGGAGGCGGAUGCCUAAGGUAUGUAUGGUGAUUGGGAUG
This 371-nucleotide ribosomal RNA is filed under the name uncultured bacterium. Its description in RNAcentral is "bacterial SSU rRNA". It matches the Rfam family "Bacterial small subunit ribosomal RNA", at positions 1116 to 1482 of the family's 1533-position model. The record is from RNAcentral.